This 604-nucleotide ribosomal RNA is filed under the name Klebsiella ornithinolytica. RNAcentral describes it as "partial 23S ribosomal RNA". It matches the Rfam family "Bacterial large subunit ribosomal RNA", at positions 613 to 1218 of the family's 2925-position model. Lineage: Bacteria; Pseudomonadati; Pseudomonadota; Gammaproteobacteria; Enterobacterales; Enterobacteriaceae. The record is from RNAcentral.
UAAUGGGUCAGCGACUUAUAUUCUGUAGCAAGGUUAACCGUAUAGGGGAGCCGCAGGGAAACCGAGUCUUAACUGGGCGUUAAGUUGCAGGGUAUAGACCCGAAACCCGGUGAUCUAGCCAUGGGCAGGUUGAAGGUUGGGUAACACUAACUGGAGGACCGAACCGACUAAUGUUGAAAAAUUAGCGGAUGACUUGUGGCUGGGGGUGAAAGGCCAAUCAAACCGGGAGAUAGCUGGUUCUCCCCGAAAGCUAUUUAGGUAGCGCCUCGUGAACUCAUCUUCGGGGGUAGAGCACUGUUUCGGCUAGGGGGUCAUCCCGACUUACCAACCCGAUGCAAACUACGAAUACCGAAGAAUGUUAUCACGGGAGACACACGGCGGGUGCUAACGUCCGUCGUGAAGAGGGAAACAACCCAGACCGCCAGCUAAGGUCCCAAAGUCAUGGUUAAGUGGGAAACGAUGUGGGAAGGCACAGACAGCCAGGAUGUUGGCUUAGAAGCAGCCAUCAUUUAAAGAAAGCGUAAUAGCUCACUGGUCGAGUCGGCCUGCGCGGAAGAUGUAACGGGGCUAAACCAUGCACCGAAGCUGCGGCAGCGACACUAUG